UUUCCGUAGGUGAACCUGCGGAAGGAUCAUUACAGUAGUCGCCCGGGUUGCUGCAAGGCCUCCCGGGUAACCUACCACCCUUUGUUUAUUACACUUUGUUGCUUUGGCAGGCCUGCCCUCGGGCUGCUGGCUCCGGCCGGCGAGCGCUUGCCAGAGGACCUAAACUCUGUUUGUCUAUACUGUCUGAGUACUAUAUAAUAGUUAAAACUUUCAACAACGGAUCUCUUGGUUCUG
RNAcentral lists this unclassified non-coding RNA (234 nucleotides) under plant metagenome. RNAcentral's name for it is "partial contains small subunit ribosomal RNA, internal transcribed spacer 1, and 5.8S ribosomal RNA". The record is from RNAcentral.